This 254-nucleotide ribosomal RNA is filed under the name uncultured bacterium. RNAcentral describes it as "partial 16S ribosomal RNA". It matches the Rfam family "Bacterial small subunit ribosomal RNA", at positions 524 to 776 of the family's 1533-position model. The record is from RNAcentral.
UACGGGGGGAGCAAGCGUUGUUCGGAUUUACUGGGCGUAAAGGGCGCGUAGGCGGUCAGCACAAGUCAGUUGUGAAAUCUCCGGGCUUAACUCGGAAAGGUCAACUGAUACUGUGCGACUAGAGUGCAGAAGGGGCAACUGGAAUUCUCGGUGUAGCAGUGAAAUGCGUAGAUAUCGAGAGGAACACCUGCGGCGAAGGCGGGUUGCUGGGCUGACACUGACGCUGAUGCGCGAAAGCCAGGGGAGCGAACGGG